This 2628-nucleotide ribosomal RNA is filed under the name secondary endosymbiont of Cyphonococcus alpinus. Its description in RNAcentral is "bacterial LSU rRNA". It matches the Rfam family "Bacterial large subunit ribosomal RNA", at positions 1 to 2581 of the family's 2925-position model. The record is from RNAcentral. Lineage: Bacteria; Pseudomonadati; Pseudomonadota; Gammaproteobacteria; Enterobacterales; Enterobacteriaceae.
GGUUAAGUGACUAAGCGUAUACGGUGGAUGCCUAGGCAGUCAGAGGCGAAGAAGGACGUGCUAAUCUGCGAAAAGCGUCGGUUAGCUGAUAUGAAGCAUUAUAAACCGGCGAUAUCCGAAUAGGGAAACCUGAUGUAGUUUAUUACAUCAUCGUCAAAUAAAUUAAUAGUUUGUCGAGGCAAACCAGGGGAAUUGAAACAUCUCAGUACCCUGAGGAAAAGAAAUCAAUUGAGAUUCCCUUAGUAGCGGCGAGCGACCAGGGAAGAGCCCAGAGACAUCAUCAGCUAGUUUGUUAAGAGAACGGUCUGGAAAGUCCGGUAAUAAAGGGUGAUAGCCCCGUAUCUAAAAACAAUUUUAUCUGUAUGCUCGAUGAGUAGGACGGGACACGUGUUAUCCUGUCUGAACAUGGGGGGACCAUCCUCCAAGGCUAAAUACUCCUGACUGACCAAUAGUGAACUAGUACCGUGAGGGAAAGGUGAAAAGAACCCCGGUGAGGGGAGUGAAAUAGAUCCUGAAACCGUAUACGUACAAGCAGUGGGAGCAUCUCUUAUGAUGUGACUGCGUACCUUUUGUAUAAUGGGUCAGCGACUUAUAUUCUGUAGCAAGGUUAACUGUAUAAGGGAGCCGUAGGGAAACCGAGUCUUAAUUGGGCGUUUAGUUGCAGGAUGUAGACCCGAAACCCGGUGAUCUAGCUAUGAGCAGGUUGAAAAUUAGGUAACACUAAUUGAAGGACCGAACCGACUAAUGUUGAAAAAUUAGCGGAUGACUUGUGGCUAGGGGUGAAAGACCAAUCAAACCGGGAGAUAGCUGGUUCUCCCCGAAAGCUAUUUAGGUAGCGCCUCGUGAAUUCAUCUAUGGAGGUAGAGCUCUGUUUUGGCUAGGGACCUAUCCAGGGUUACCAACCCAAUGCAAACUACGAAUACCGUAGAAUGUUACCACGGGAGACACACGGCGGGUGCUAACGUCCGUCGUGAAAAGGGAAACAACCCAGACCGCCAGCUAAGGUCCCUAAGUUAUGGUUAAGUGGAAAACGAUGUGGGAAGGCAUAGACAGCCAGGAUGUUGGCUUAGAAGCAGCCAUCAUUUAAAGAAAGCGUAAUAGCUCACUGGUCGAGUCGGCCGGCGCGGAAGAUGUAACGGGGCUAAACCAUACACCGAAGCUGCGGCAGCGGGCAUAUUGCUUAAAUAAAUUUAUAAUUAUUUAUUUAUAUAAAUAACUGACUUAAGUUGAUUUAAGCAAUAUGCCCGCUGGGUAGGGGAGCGUUCUGUAAGCCUGAGAAGGUGCGUUGUAAAAUGUGCUGGAGGUAUCAGAAGUGCGAAUGCUGACAUAAGUAACGAUAAAGUGGGUGAAAAACCUACUCGCCGGAAGACCAAGGAUUCCUGUUCAAUGUUAAUCAGAGCAGGGUGAGUCGACCCCUAAGGCGAGGUCGAAAGGCGUAGUCGAUGGGCAACAGGUUAAUAUUCCUGUACUUAGUGUGACUGCGAAGGGGGAACGGAGAAAGCUAAAUUCGCCGAGCGACGGUUGUCUCGGUUUAAGCGUAUAGGUGAAAAAAACAGGCAAAUCCGUUUUUUUUAAUAACACUGAGGCGUAACGACGAACCAUUACGGUGGUGAAGGAAUUAAUGCUAUGCUUCCAGGAAAAGCCUCUAAGCUACAGGUUACAUUAAAUCGUACCCUAAACCGACACAGGUGGUCAAGUAGAGCAUACUUAGGCGCUUGAGAGAACUCGGGUGAAGGAACUAGGCAAAAUAGUGCCGUAACUUCGGGAGAAGGCACGCUGGCAUGUAGGUGAAGGGACAAGCUCCCUGAGCUGAAGCCAGUCGCAGAUACCAGCUGGCUGCAACUGUUUAUUAAAAACACAGCACUGUGCAAACACGAAAGUGGGCGUAUACGGUGUGACGCCUGCCCGGUGCCGGAAGGUUAAUUAAUAGGGUUAUCCUUAUUAGGAAAAGCUCUUGAUCGAAGCCCCGGUAAACGGCGGCCGUAACUAUAACGGUCCUAAGGUAGCGAAAUUCCUUGUCGGGUAAGUUCCGACCUGCACGAAUGGCGUAAUGAUGGCCAGACUGUCUCCACCCGAGACUCAGUGAAAUUGAAAUCGCCGUGAAGAUGCGGUGUACCCGCGGCAAGACGGAAAGACCCCGUGAACCUUUACUAUAUCUUGACACUGAAUAUUAAGCUUUGAUGUGUAGGAUAGGUGGGAGGCUGUGAAAUGUAUGCGCGAGUUUACAUAGAGCCAUUCUUGAAAUACCACCCUUUAAUGUUGAAUAUUCUAACUCAGUCCCGUAAUCCGGGACGAAGACAGUGUCUGGUGGGUAGUUUGACUGGGGCGGUCUCCUCCUAAAGAGUAACGGAGGAGCACUAAGGUUAGCUAAUCACGGUCGGAAAUCGUGAGUUUAGUGUAAAGGCAUAAGCUAGCUUGACUGUAAGAGUGACGGCUCGAGCAGGUGCGAAAGCAGGUCUUAGUGAUCCGGUGGUUCUGAAUGGAAAGGCCAUCGCUCAACGAAUAAAAGGUACUCCGGGGAUAACAGGCUAAUACCGCCCAAGAGUUCAUAUCGACGGCGGUGUUUGGCACCUCGAUGUCGGCUCAUCACAUCCUGGGGCUGCAGUAGGUCCCAAGGGUAUGGCUGUU